Molecule: long non-coding RNA, 1026 nt
Filed under: Prunus persica (peach)
Lineage: Eukaryota; Viridiplantae; Streptophyta; Magnoliopsida; Rosales; Rosaceae
Description: long non-coding RNA (PPER_LNC005960)
Source: RNAcentral
CGAGUGAAGAACGUAGACGUCCUAUACCGCUUGGGUUUGAUCCAUCUCUCCGACUUGGUGAUAACCCGCUCAAGCGCUUAGGCUUUACGUAAGUGGAGGAUGAGUGAAGAACGUAGACGUCCUAUACCGCUUGGGUUUGAUCCAUCUCUCCGACUUGGUGAUAACCCGUUCAAGCGCUUAGGCUUUACGUAAGUGGAGGACGAGUGAAGAACGUAGACGUCCUAUACCGCUUGGGUUUGAUCCAUCUCUCCUACUUGGUGAUAACCCGCUCAAGCGCUUAGGCUUUACGUAAAUGGAGGACGAGUGAAGAACGUAGACGUCCUAUACCGCUUGGGUUUGAUCCAUCUCUCCGACUUGGUGAUAACCCGUUCAAGCGCUUAGGCUUUACGUAAGUGGAGGACGAGUGAAGAACGUAGACGUCCUAUAUCGCUUGGGUUUGAUCCAUCUCUCCGACUUGGUGAUAACCCGCUCAAGCGCUUAGGCUUUACGUAAAUGGAGGACGAGUAAAGAACGUAGACGUCCUAUACCGCUUGGGUUUGAUCCAUCUCUCUGACUUGGUGAUAACCCGCUCAAGCGCUUAGGCUUUACGUAUUGGAGGACGCCCAACUUGAUCGAGCACAGAUACUUUCCCAAAGAGACCUUUUUUUUUUUUUUUUUUUUUUUUAGUUUGCAGUUUUGGCUCAUGCAAGCGAGUGAGCAUUUGGUGCCUUGUGCAUUUUUGGCUCUUGCAGGCGAAUGAACACUUGGUGCAUCGUGCAGUUUCAGCUCGUGCAGGCAAAUGAGCAUUUGGUGCCUUGUGCAGUUUAGGCUCGUGCAGGCGAACGAAGGAGCAUUUGGUGCUUUGUGCAGUUUAGGCUCGUGCAGGCGAACGAAGGAGCAAUUGGUGCUUUGUGCAGUUUAGGCUCGUGCAGGCGAAGGAGCGUUUGGUGCCUUGUGCAUUUUUGACUCAUGCAGGCAAAUGAGCAAUUAGUGCCUUGUGCAGUUUAGGCUCUUGCAGGCAAAGGAGCAUUUUGGUGCCUUAUGCAG